This 1372-nucleotide ribosomal RNA is filed under the name uncultured bacterium. RNAcentral describes it as "bacterial SSU rRNA". It matches the Rfam family "Bacterial small subunit ribosomal RNA", at positions 28 to 1381 of the family's 1533-position model. The record is from RNAcentral.
GAUGAACGCUGGCGGCGUGCCUAAUACAUGCAAGUCGAGCGAACGGACGAGAAGCUUGCUUUUCUGAUGUUAGCGGCGGACGGGUGAGUAACACGUGGAUAACCUACCUAUAAGACUGGGAUAACUUCGGGAAACCGGAGCUAAUACCGGAUAAUAUUUUGAACCGCAUGGUUCAAAAGUGAAAGACGGUCUUGCUGUCACUUAUAGAUGGAUCCGCGCUGCAUUAGCUAGUUGGUAAGGUAACGGCUUACCAAGGCAACGAUGCAUAGCCGACCUGAGAGGGUGAUCGGCCACACUGGAACUGAGACACGGUCCAGACUCCUACGGGAGGCAGCAGUAGGGAAUCUUCCGCAAUGGGCGAAAGCCUGACGGAGCAACGCCGCGUGAGUGAUGAAGGUCUUCGGAUCGUAAAACUCUGUUAUUAGGGAAGAACAUAUGUGUAAGUAACUGUGCACAUCUUGACGGUACCUAAUCAGAAAGCCACGGCUAACUACGUGCCAGCAGCCGCGGUAAUACGUAGGUGGCAAGCGUUAUCCGGAAUUAUUGGGCGUAAAGCGCGCGUAGGCGGUUUUUUAAGUCUGAUGUGAAAGCCCACGGCUCAACCGUGGAGGGUCAUUGGAAACUGGAAAACUUGAGUGCAGAAGAGGAAAGUGGAAUUCCAUGUGUAGCGGUGAAAUGCGCAGGGAUGUGGAGGAACACCAGUGGCGAAGGCGACUUUCUGGUCUGUAACUGACGCUGAUGUGCGAAAGCGUGGGGAUCAAACAGGAUUAGAUACCCUGGUAGUCCACGCCGUAAACGAUGAGUGCUAAGUGUUAGGGGGUUUCCGCCCCUUAGUGCUGCAGCUAACGCAUUAAGCACUCCGCCUGGGGAGUACGACCGCAAGGUUGAAACUCAAAGGAAUUGACGGGGGCCCGCACAAGCGGUGGAGCAUGUGGUUUAAUUCGAAGCAACGCGAAGAACCUUACCAAAUCUUGACAUCCUUUGACAACUCUAGAGAUAGAGCCUUCCCCUUCGGGGGACAAAGUGACAGGUGGUGCAUGGUUGUCGUCAGCUCGUGUCGUGAGAUGUUGGGUUAAGUCCCGCAACGAGCGCAACCCUUAAGCUUAGUUGCCAUCAUUAAGUUGGGCACUCUAAGUUGACUGCCGGUGACAAACCGGAGGAAGGUGGGGAUGACGUCAAAUCAUCAUGCCCCUUAUGAUUUGGGCUACACACGUGCUACAAUGGACAAUACAAAGAGCAGCGAAACCGCGAGGUCAAGCAAAUCUCAUAAAGUUGUUCUCAGUUCGGAUUGUAGUCUGCAACUCGACUACAUGAAGCUGGAAUCGCUAGUAAUCGUAGAUCAGCAUGCUACGGUGAAUACGUUCCCGGGUCU